UCAUCAUAUGAAGGCACGAUUCCACGCCAUAGAUUGCAUUUGCAAACUUCACGUUAUCAAAAUUGACAAGCUGAGUUCCCCUAAAAAAAGGCAAGCUGAGUAGAAUAAUCAGCCCGAACAGAUACUUACACCGAAUUUCACAACUGAAUAUUAACAGAUAUUCAUACAGAACAUGCAAAUAAAUAAGAAAAUAUCCUAUAGUCUAGAACUAUGGUUCUCAAUUAAGCUAAAAUAUAACAUAAGCCACAAUACUUGUUCAUUCACAGACUGGUUCAUCAACUGAUCCUAGCUCCUUCAGUGCACUCCCUUUUCAAAUCCUCAACUACCCAAUUACUCCUGGCUCCCUUAAUGCACUCUCUUUUCAAAUCCUCAACCGCCCUGAAAAUGAAAAUGAACAAUGUUUUAGGCAAGUGCAAGAUAAGAUGUUCUUUGAUAAAUUAUAAGAAGUGUAUCAUACAAAUGCUUUGUUUGAAUGGUUGGCAUAGUUUUUUCUACCUAAAAGCCACAAAGAUUUUGAUAACUACAGUAUCUUAAAUGUGGAUAUUGGAGCACACUCGAUGCUUGUAUGGAAACAUACUUACAUGUGAGCAAGGCCAAG
This 598-nucleotide long non-coding RNA is filed under the name Triticum aestivum (bread wheat). RNAcentral describes it as "long non-coding RNA (TAES_LNC022085)". Lineage: Eukaryota; Viridiplantae; Streptophyta; Magnoliopsida; Poales; Poaceae. The record is from RNAcentral.